RNAcentral lists this ribosomal RNA (430 nucleotides) under uncultured bacterium. RNAcentral describes it as "partial 16S ribosomal RNA". It matches the Rfam family "Bacterial small subunit ribosomal RNA", at positions 29 to 506 of the family's 1533-position model. The record is from RNAcentral.
AACGAACGCUGGCGGCAUGCCUAACACAUGCAAGUCGAACGAGACCUUCGGGUCUAGUGGCGCACGGGUGCGUAACGCGUGGGAACCUGCCCUUAGGUUCGGAAUAACUCCCCGAAAGGGGUGCUAAUACCGGAUAAUGUCUUCGGACCAAAGAUUUAUCGCCUUUGGAUGGGCCCGCGUUGGAUUAGCUAGUUGGUAGGGUAAAAGCCUACCAAGGCGACGAUCCAUAGCUGGUCUGAGAGGAUGAUCAGCCACACUGGGACUGAGACACGGCCCAGACUCCUACGGGAGGCAGCAGUGGGGAAUAUUGGACAAUGGGCGAAAGCCUGAUCCAGCAAUGCCGCGUGAGAUGAAGGCCUUAGGGUUGUAAAGCUCUUUUACCCGGGAUGAUAAUGACAGUACCGGGAGAAUAAGCUCCGGCUAACUCCGU